UGAGGAAUAUUGGUCAAUGGACGCAAGUCUGAACCAGCCAUGCCGCGUGAAGGAAUAAGGCCCUAUGGGUCGUAAACUUCUUUUGUAUGUGAGCAAUAAGGUCCACGUGUGGUCCGAUGAGAGUAGCAUACGAAUAAGCAUCGGCUAACUCCGUGCCAGCAGCCGCGGUAAUACGGAGGAUGCAAGCGUUAUCCGGAUUCAUUGGGUUUAAAAGGGUGCGUAGGCGGCUUGGUAAGUCAGCGGUGAAAUUCGUAGAUAUUAGGAGGAACACCAGUGGCGAAGGCGGCUUUCUGGACUGUUACUGACACUGAGGCACGAAAGUGUGGGGAGCAAACAGGA
RNAcentral lists this ribosomal RNA (339 nucleotides) under uncultured bacterium. Its description in RNAcentral is "bacterial SSU rRNA". It matches the Rfam family "Bacterial small subunit ribosomal RNA", at positions 355 to 777 of the family's 1533-position model. The record is from RNAcentral.